AACGAACGCUGGCGGUGUGCUUAACACAUGCAAGUCGAACGAGAACGUUUCCUUCGGGGGACUAGUAAAGUGGCGCAAGGGUGAGUAACACGUGAAUAAUCUGCCCUCGAGACUGGGGAUAACUUGGCGAAAGCUAGGCUAAUACCAGAUAAGACCACGUUUCAUAAAGAAAAUGCGGAAAAAAGGAGUCUCAACCUUCACUCGAGGAUGAGUUCGCGGACCAUUAGCUUGUUGGUGAGAUAAAAAGCUCACCAAGGCUACGAUGGAUAGCCGGCCUGAGAGGGUGAUCGGCCACACUGGAACUGAGACACGGUCCAGACUCCUACGGGAGGCAGCAGUGGGGAAUAUUGCGCAAUGGGCGAAAGCCUGACGCAGCAACGCCGUGUGAGCGAUG
RNAcentral lists this ribosomal RNA (394 nucleotides) under uncultured Nitrospina sp. RNAcentral describes it as "bacterial SSU rRNA". It matches the Rfam family "Bacterial small subunit ribosomal RNA", at positions 29 to 410 of the family's 1533-position model. Lineage: Bacteria; Pseudomonadati; Nitrospinota; Nitrospinia; Nitrospinales; Nitrospinaceae. The record is from RNAcentral.